UCUACCUCUGAGUUAGUCGCCAUGCCACUCCCCGCCCCACCGGUCACGCCCCACCCUGCCGGUCGCGCCCGGCCCACCACACCACUCUCCAUCUCCUUCACCGUCAUCUCCAUGCUAACGGGGGUCACGACGCUCUACAACACCGGCCUGGCCUUCGGUGGGCCCGCCAUCAUGACGCUCGACUGGUUCAUCGCGGGCGCCUUCACCAUGGCCAUCGGCCUCUCCAAGGCCGAGAUCUGCUCCGCCUUCCCGACCUCCGGUAGGCUCUACUACUGGAGCGCGCGCCUCUCCGGCAGACGCUGGGCGCCCGUCGCCUCCUAGAUCACCGGAUGGUUCAACUACUACUAUGUUGGGCAGUGAAGGGCGACGUCCAGACAGUAAGAACGAGGUGACACAAUAUGGACUCGAUAUGACUGAGCAACAAUAUCUUGAGCCACCAAUGAUGCUGCUUGGCGUGCGUUAUGUCGUUAUUGGGCUUCAACUGAAUUCAAGGCAAAGUCUGUGCGACAUAGUUCCAAUCAUGGAACCGAGUCGUAUCACAGGUAUGGAGGCGAUGAUAACUUUCGUUUGGCAAAACGAAUGGUAAGUACAAUUUAAUCUAUUUUCGUUGAUUGUAGUUGACUUGCUGUAAUUUCUGGUUAUAAUGUUUGUCAAAUGUACAUAUUGGAAGCUAGCACUGGUGUAGUGCAGUAUUAAAUAUACCUUAGGGGGCACAGAGGACGAGAUCCUGCAAAUCUAGAUGUGUUGUGCAGCCAAAAGGCAACAGAUCGUCUAGCUGCAUAUGGCGAGGCGAUGUCUAGUCAGCAUGGACCAAACUAUGAUUGGAGGACCUCACCUAUUGAUCCUCAGGCUAUGUAUGCAAGUGGUAGAAAAGCUCAUGGAAGGUACACAAUGUUUGCUAACGUCAUCGACUCGAGCCAGGUCAGGGUUCAGCAUGGAGGCUCGUCGAGGUCUACUGCUCGUAGCUCCCAUGGCUCCAGUCAAGAUCCAGCAGAAGUGGGGCAACUGCGAGCAGAACUUAGGUGACAUCAGGAUUACUUGAGGCAACAAGCUGAGCAACAUGAAUACUAUGCUACACAAAUUCAACAACAACAAACACACAUUCAAGUUCAAAAGAUAAUAGCUUUCACUUUAAGAUAUGUAUUGAUUUAAAACACUGAUGUGAAUGAGUUCGACAAUUUUGUAGCAACUAGCACAAGCCCAAGGUAUACACGUCCCAGUGCCCCCCACCACCUUUUGUACAUUAUCCUUGGUCUUCACCUCCACCUUCACGUCCACCUCCACCUACUGAACAUCAGACCUUUCCAGCUACCUUGCCGACGCAGGAACGAUACGACGGAUUAGACUUUGUCGAAGCCUUCUUCGCUAGUGGAGGUAUCGACUAUCACUCGUUGCUGCACCCCGAUGGUGAUCGGCGAUCGUGAUCUUACAUUUUAUGUGUUAUGAUACUUGAGACUUUUCUUAUGACUAUGUAUGAGAUGUUGUGAUAUUGUCUCUUAUUAUGACUGGAUGAGAUGCGUCUUAUGACUAUGGAUGAGACUUUUGUGAUGUAAUUGAUGAUAUUAUGGAUUGAAUUGUUGUUAUGUGAA
Long non-coding RNA from Zea mays, 1589 nucleotides. RefSeq lists it as uncharacterized. The record is from RefSeq and is a predicted model, not a curated record. Lineage: Eukaryota; Viridiplantae; Streptophyta; Magnoliopsida; Poales; Poaceae. The transcript has 6 exons.